CCAGACUCCUACGGGAGGCAGCAGUGAGGAAUAUUGGUCAAUGGCCGCAGGGCUGAACCAGCCAAGUCGCGUGAGGGAUGACGGUCCUAUGGAUUGUAAACCUCUUUUGUCAGGGAGCAAAGGGCGCCACGUGUGGCGUUUUGCGAGUACCUGAAGAAAAAGCAUCGGCUAACUCCGUGCCAGCAGCCGCGGUAAUACGGAGGAUGCGAGCGUUAUCCGGAUUUAUUGGGUUUAAAGGGUGCGCAGGCGGAAUGUCAAGUCAGCGGUAAAAAUUCGGGGCUCAACCCCGUCGUGCCGUUGAAACUGAUGUUCUUGAGUGGGCGAGAAGUAUGCGGAAUGCGUGGUGUAGCGGUGAAAUGCAUAGAUAUCACGCAGAACUCCGAUUGCGAAGGCAGCAUACCGGCGCUCAACUGACGCUCAUGCACGAAAGCGUGGGUAUCGAACAGGAUUAGAUACCCCCGUAGAC
Molecule: ribosomal RNA, 466 nt
Filed under: uncultured bacterium
Lineage: Bacteria
Description: bacterial SSU rRNA
Rfam family: Bacterial small subunit ribosomal RNA
Source: RNAcentral